UACGUAGGGUGCGAGCGUUGUCCGGAAUUAUUGGGCGUAAAGAGCUCGUAGGCGGUUUGUCGCGUCGGAUGUGAAAGCCCGGGGCUUAACCCCGGGUCUGCAUUCGAUACGGGCAGACUAGAGUGUGGUAGGGGAGAUCGGAAUUCCUGGUGUAGCGGUGAAAUGCGCAGAUAUCAGGAGGAACACCGGUGGCGAAGGCGGAUCUCUGGGCCAUUACUGACGCUGAGGAGCGAAAGCGUGGGGAGCGAACAGG
Molecule: ribosomal RNA, 253 nt
Filed under: uncultured bacterium
Lineage: Bacteria
Description: partial 16S ribosomal RNA
Rfam family: Bacterial small subunit ribosomal RNA
Source: RNAcentral